RNAcentral lists this microRNA (22 nucleotides) under Monodelphis domestica (gray short-tailed opossum). Its description in RNAcentral is "mdo-miR-7289-3p". The record is from miRBase by way of RNAcentral. Lineage: Eukaryota; Metazoa; Chordata; Mammalia; Didelphimorphia; Didelphidae.
CACAGCCCACCAGCUGCUUGGU